CUUCAAAAAGCAGAAUAAUCUCAUUGAUUAUCACUUUGAUGCAUUAUUUAUCAUAUAAGUGUAUACAGGUGGCCACUUUACCAGAUGGACUGCCAUUGCACAUGUGAAAUAGAAGUUGCUGAGUGAUUGCCUUUUUCCCUUCCUUGCUGUCUAGAAACUUACUUUCUUUAGCUGCCACAUGCACCAAUGGCAAGUAAGUAACUUGGCCUCCUGAACACAUCAUAUUAACAGAAACAGC
This 238-nucleotide long non-coding RNA is filed under the name Gallus gallus (chicken). The record is from RNAcentral. Lineage: Eukaryota; Metazoa; Chordata; Aves; Galliformes; Phasianidae.